GUUGGUGUCUCAGAAGGCAUUGUUAUUGAGGAGUCUCCACCAUGGCCUGGGCUCUGGUUCUCCUCACCCUCCUCACUCAGGGCAUGGGGUCCUGGGCCCAGUCUACCCUGACUCAACCUCCCUCAUUAUCAGGGGCUCUGGGAAGUACUGUCACCAUCUCCUGUGCUGGAAGCAGCAGUAACAUUGGAGGGAUCCCCAAUCGCUUCUCUGGCUUGAAGACUGGAAACACAGCCAUCUUGAUCAUCUCUGGGCUCCAGGUUGAAGACGAGGGGGAUUAUUAUUGCACCUCAGUUACUUUGAGUGAUAAUUCUCACAGUGGUGCAAGUUCAUGA
Non-coding RNA from Ailuropoda melanoleuca (giant panda), 332 nucleotides. The record is from the annotation of a RefSeq genome assembly. Lineage: Eukaryota; Metazoa; Chordata; Mammalia; Carnivora; Ursidae.